Molecule: long non-coding RNA, 264 nt
Organism: Dinoponera quadriceps
Lineage: Eukaryota; Metazoa; Arthropoda; Insecta; Hymenoptera; Formicidae
Exons: 3
Source: RefSeq, a predicted model, not a curated record
GCGUCGUAAACUUUGCGAAACAUGGCGUCUUUUCGGAUCCGAAUGUUGAUACGGUUCGGUAAGGGUCGCCGCCGAACUUUUUAACGAUCGUAACCAACGAUCGAAACGUCUUGAUGUAGAAAUUUAUCGAUGCAGUGUGUACCGCUUAUUGCGUCUCUUGGCGCAUAUACAUUUGAAUUUGAAUUAACUGACUUUGAAAUUGAGUAACCAAUGGCCCAGGUACUCUACAGGAUCAGCCGGUUUCGUUGCUAUGAUUUCGCGAAG